Molecule: long non-coding RNA, 814 nt
Organism: Homo sapiens (human)
Lineage: Eukaryota; Metazoa; Chordata; Mammalia; Primates; Hominidae
Product: long intergenic non-protein coding RNA 2109
Source: Ensembl
AGAGACAGAGGAAAGGCUGAAGGUUGAGUUGAUUACCAGUAGCUCACGAUAUAAUCAUUCAUGCCUACAUAACACAGCUUUCAUAAGAACCCAAUAGGACAGGGUUCAAGGACCCUCUAAAGAAUGCCACACCUAUAGAGGCAUGGAAACUCUUUGCCACUUUCAUCUGACUAUUGAUCUAUAUCCUUUGUAAUGCCUCUUAUAAGAAAUGGGCAGAUUCUAGCAGUGUUUGUGAGAAAAACUGAUGGAUCCUGCAGAUUAACUAUGGACAGCCAAAUAUUGAGUAAAGUGAUGUCUACAACAGCAUCAGCUAUGCCUGAUAUGGUGUUAAUUCACAUUGUGAAGUUGUCUUUGUUUCAUGAACUACUUCUCCGUAAUAGCAUGCAGCCAUCUUCAAGAGGUGAGAAUUUCACUUAGCGACUUAAACAGAAGUGUUAUCUCAAGAUAAUAUAAUAUCUGGAGGUAAAACAGCAUCCCCAGGAUAAACAGAUGUUAAUUCCCUGCUUGCUGCAACUAGGAAGCAAGUGCCAACAUAUUUGGGAAUGCUCCUUCCUGCUGGACAGCACACAGACAAGUUGGAAAGGAAUCCUAUAACAAGCUAGCUGCCAUGCAUAUGGAAUGAAGCUUAGUUAAAAAGUCUUUCCAAGUGCUUGAGUAUUUUUAGAUGAUAUUUAGCCCCCUUUAAAUUGAAAGACGAAAUGCAGCAAUUGAAACUGAGUAUGUACUCUGAUCUUGGUGGGGAGGUAAUUCCCCAUAAGAUGUUGUGUCUCUGAUGAACUCUCAACAAAUUCAAAAUAUAGGAUGUUAUCAAACU